UCAUCUAUGCCAAUCAGUUUAGCUUUGUAUUUUACACCAUCACCUUUGAAUCUAGCCAAGAGAGAUUCAUCUGUUUUUUCUGGCCCUGGAGACAGAGAAAAGGUUUAGUGGAAACUGCUUGCUUUCUUCUCUGCAUGCUCAACAUUGCUCAAGUAUGUACCUAGCUGUAGCGUUCCAAGCAGUCUGGAAGAUAAGAACACUGUCAUAACUAGAAGACAGAUGGUUUGCAAAAUGGAUUCAGGAUUUUCCUAAU
Long non-coding RNA from Vidua macroura (Pin-tailed whydah), 253 nucleotides. RefSeq lists it as uncharacterized. The transcript is spliced from 3 exons. Lineage: Eukaryota; Metazoa; Chordata; Aves; Passeriformes; Viduidae. The record is from RefSeq and is a predicted model, not a curated record.